Molecule: long non-coding RNA, 1621 nt
Organism: Diceros bicornis minor
Lineage: Eukaryota; Metazoa; Chordata; Mammalia; Perissodactyla; Rhinocerotidae
Exons: 3
Source: RefSeq, a predicted model, not a curated record
GAAUCUCCGUUGGGGGCUUGCCCAGGGAUCUUUACCUUUUGGAAGACUUUGGUUUCCCAGCAGGUUGGUGCAGAUGGAAUCCCCACCAGCAAGCACAGGAACAGAAGGAGCAACCACAACCCACACACAAUGAAGUGGGAUCCAUAACUACUGACCUCCGAUUCUGGCGCCUCUUCACAGACAGGAGGAAGGCGCCUGCAAAGAAUCUUUUCUGCUCUAUUGUCUCCUCCUGAUGGCUGUGGUUACUGGUGAAAUCAGGAUAAUGUUGGAAACUAGACGGAACCUAUAGUGACCCUAAUCAAUCAGUCGAGCCUCGACCAAACUUGGCCAGCCCAAAUCAAUCUCAUCUUCUGCUCCAAGUCUACAGGAUCCUCCGUUGUCCCUGUAAGCAUUCCCACAAUAAUACUCGUCUUGAUUGUUGUAUCGUCUGUGAAAAUGACUACCACUGCACCAUGAGAUUCCUUCCUUUGAGCCUAACAAGAAGGUCUGGGCACGUGGGCCCACUUAUGCCUUGUCCCUGGAGAAUACGGGAUAUUUCUUCCUAUGCAUCUCCGAUAUUUUCUCCCUUCUCCCUACCUCCUGGAAGGGACAGUGCAGGGUAGCAGCACUCUCUCCAGAUGCUAGUCAGAAAAAAGCUUCCUUCCACUGCCUACAUACCAAACCUCGGCUCAUUCUUCUAUCAACUUAAAAGAGCCAAAAGGAAUUGUGACUUUGAGGGACUCCCCACAUAUAACCUUAUUGUAGAUGACACAGGAUUGGGGGAUGCCCUUGUUAGGGCAUUAUUCCCCACCUCUGGAGUUAGUGCCCUUGAAACGUCCAUCAGCAAUCUUUGUCUAAUGAUGGCUUCCAUCUUCAAUGUCACCCAACAAGCCAUCGAAUAUCACGAGGGUCAGAGAGUGUAGCAGAGGUUGUCCUUCAGAAUUGAAGGGCUCCUGACAUCCUAACUGCUCAAGAACAGGGUACCUGCACACUCCUGGGAGAGGAAUGUCGCUUCUAUGUAAAUGAGUCUAGUCACAUAAAACAAGAACUAAAGGUCAUAAAAGAUAAUAUAAAUCUCCUUAGUGAUAAAGGUCAUUCUACUGGCCUCCUGGACCACUUUCACCUGUUUGGAGUUGGGCUCGGAGCUAUUCUGAGAUCAGGGUUUGAAGCCUUACUAAUGAUUAUUGUUCUGGUUUGUUCAAUCUUUGCCACUGUUAAACUGCUAAAGAUUUGCAUUUCAUGAUGCUGCAUGUCUGUCUGUACUGCUACAGUGAUGAUUGCGUAGUGACUUGAGAUGAUCGACCAAUCUUGCAAUCCCAAACAAAGGACUUGAUACUUUUUCCAGAUAGAGACUAUGCCUAAGACUCUUUUCCUGACCACCUCCUUAUUGCUGAGAUGUGACGAAAGCCUCUGACGGCUACUGAUGACUGAGCAUCUCACUUCCCCCCCAUAUAGGACAUGAGUUCCUGGGAAUGCACCUUCCUGGUGACGAAGGAUAUAUACAUAUAUAUAUAUACACACACAUAUAUAUAUACACACAUAUAUAUACAUAUAUACAUAUAUAGACAUAUAUACAUAUAUAUACAUAUAUACAUAUACAUACAUACACAUAUACAUAUAUAUACAUAUACAUAUAUAUAUA